AUUCCUGCGAUGGGUGGGGAGGGGUUGUUCUCAUAUGAGGAGAGAUUAAAUAGGCUGGGUCUUUGCAGAGGGCUGGAAGACAAUCUCCCUGAAUCACAUGGUGCUUGACAAAGUAACUGUGGAAACAGAUAUCUAGAAUCUGGAGUCAAUGUAUAAGAGAAUCGCCUUUCAAAACAGCAAGGAAAGGACAUUUAAUCUUACAAUGAGUGAUAAACCAUUUGAAUUUUCUACCACUGGGCUGUGAAGACUCAGUUGGUGAGCAUAUUCUAGAUAGGAAUGUAUAGCAUUUUGGAUAUUGUGGAAAUCAAGGAAUAUGAUGUUAGCAAGUGCCAAGUUAGCUAGUUCCAAUGGUUAUAUCCUUAUGGGAAAUAACACCUCAUUUAUGGAACUCUCCAUCCCUUUCCUCAGCCUUCUAACAUUUUGCAUUGACAAAAGCUUUUUCGACUCUUUUAAAUGUGCUUGACAAUUAGAGACAUUUACACACAGCUACAAAACAUGUUCACAAUAUGAAGAGUAACACACACCAAAUGCUGGAGAAACUCAGCAGCUUAGGCAGCAUCUAUGGAAAGAAAUGAGUAAUUGAUGUUUUGGGCUGAGACCCUUUAUCAAGACCUUCACCUUCCUCUGAGUCCUGAUUUCCAAACGUUGUAAUGUGAGCAAAGUCACUGGAGAGACACUGAAGCUGGUUGAUCUAGAAGUGUUUUAUUACACAAAAAUGAGCAGCAGGCAUCAUAUUGAGACAUUCGUGGGAAAGAGGUCUGUUCAGCUCAGUAUUAUAUCACAUUUUACAUGCUAAAGCUCAGAGAUAACAGCGGGCCAAUUCUGUAGUUACAAUGUAUUAACAGUGCGUCCUUUGAAUUGCAGAUAACGUUCACACCUUCUUCUUCGCACCCACACUCCAGACACCCAAACUGAAUGUUAAUCAGCAUUUUCUGGAUUUCAAUUAACUGGUGUCCAUAGCUCCAGGAAACUAUUGUUCAGGGCUGCAUUUCAAAUUUAAUCUACAUUCAUCGUUCAGGUCCAUAGAUUGGUUGGUGAAGUAAAUAUUUUCUAUAUUCCCCAGCUCCAGAAUACACCCUAUCAUCUAACAUCUACUGAAUCUCUUGUCUUCACAAUAUUAAAAUAAAGGGAAAUAUUAAUCCAAGAAUUAAAAAAUGAGAUUAAUUUUGCGCAAAACAAAUCACCUAUCAUUUUGGUAAAAGUCAGUGAGAUUGAGUGACUGGGCAAAAACAAAGCUGUCAAAAUGAAGUUUAAGUGUGAGGUGACACACUCCAGUACAUAAUUAAAAAAGACAGAUUAUUAUCUAAAUGGAGAGAGACUGAAAGUGAGUUAAGUACCGAAUGGUGUUUUAAUGGACAAAUCAUAAAAAGCUAGUGGGCAGAUCCAGCAAGCAGUUAAGAAGGGAAAUGGCAUUCCUGCAAAAGGUUUGGAGUUUAAGUAGGGAGGUUUUGUGGCAAGUGUACAGAAAGUUGUGGGAGUUGUUAUGUACUUGAAAGCUGUAUACAGUUUUGAUCUCCUUACCUAAAUAAAGGUUUUGUAAUAUUGGAGGAAGUGCAAACAAACUUUAUCAGGCUGAUUCUUGAAACAAGAGGGUUAUCCAACUAAGGUAGACUAAAAAGCUUGGACUAGUACUCGUUGACGUUUAGAAGUAUAAGGGGUGACCCUUAUUCAGGCAUGUCAGAUCCUGAAAAUUCUUGACAGGGGACAUGCUGGGAUGUUUUUACAUGCUGGGUGAGUCUCAAACAAGGGAACAUGACUACAGGAUAAGGGGCAGGUCCCGUAAAACUGAUGUAAGUAGAAAUUUCUUUUCUCAGCAGGUGGUGAAUCUCUGGAAUUCUUUGCUCCAGUGGGUACAGGUAGUUGAGUCAGGGGAGGUAUAUCCAGUGGUGGUGGAUAAAUACUCUAUCAAAUGAAGAACAAAGGAAUAUGGAGACAUACACAGAUCAGCCAUGAUUAUUUAAUAUUGAGUGAUAUGUGAAAGGACUGGACUAAUCCUGCUUCUAUUUCCUUGUGUUGUCACAUUAUCUUCAAAUGAAUAGGACCAUGUCCAAUUUCCCAACUGUGCUUUGUGCUGAGAUGAGGGACUAGAUGUGAAAUGAAUGCUGCCUAUCAGGUUACUAUGUUACAGAAUAGGACCGGAAUCAUUGCGGAGUCCAGGAUGGAGUGGGAGGACACGCGUGCUAGCAUGGUAUCUCCAGUUCAUCCUGCGCUGCUGCACUGUUGCAGAAAUCUGGAACACAUGGAUAUACAUUUUACAUCAGGUUUGCCAGCUGGCCAUUUACUUUUCACUUAUGAUUAAAAAAAGUUUUUUGUGUCCAAAGAUAUAUUAGAGAAAAACAAAAUGUUAAAUGUAGAAGGGAAUUGUAUUGCACAUCACAGCUUAGUAUCUUUAAUAUACAUGGAAACUGAGACUAGAUAUGUCUUUCAAGUCAAUGAAUCAGUUGAACAUGCACUACACUAUGUUCUGAAUUUUUAUUUCUUUAUAAUGAAGCAUCACAAACAGAAUUUGUUGCAAUAUCGUGAAGUGCAUUGGAUGCUUGUCUUCUCAAUAUCUGUCAAGUAGAACUUAACACUUUCUUCAUGUGAAUAGUUAUUAUUUAGAAGUGGUGCAGUUUUUAUGGGAGGGACUUCCUCAGAUUCUCCACCCUCUGGCUGAAAAUGGAGAUGAGGAAGAAUUUCUUUAGCCAGAAAGUGGAGAAUCUGGAGAAUUCACUAUGUAAAUUUAAAGUGGAGAUUAAUAGGUUCCUGAUUAAUUAGGGCCUGAAAGGUUAUGGGCAGAAGGCAGAGAAUGUGGUGAGAGGGAUCAUAAGUCAGUCAUGAUGGAAUAGUGGACCACACUCAGUGGGCCAAAUGGACUAAUUCUGCUGCUUGGUAUUAUAGGCUUGAUUAAAUUGAGGAAAUACAGUUUCACUUACAAUCCUUGUUUUCUGAGGGUUGACCACUCUGAUGAAGGAUUUCUUAGCACAAGAAUGGAAAUGUAUCUGAAAGGAUUCAAAAUAAAUAUUCAAGAAUAUUUGUCGAUGGCCCAAAAUGGAAUUGUAAAGCUAAUAAAUCAAACAUUUUCCUGUGACAAUAACUGAUAGUGCAAAGGAAGAUUGGAAGAAAAUGGCAAUUGCUUAUCACAGCAACUAGAAUCAUCGUUUAUUGUGCUGCUCAUCAAUCCAAUUAUGAAAGGAAGAUUUCUUCUGGUAAUUACAAAAGUCAUAUUUGUUUAAGUCUCUGAGCUGCUUGCGGAGGAGUCUUGCUAAACAUGUUGUGUUAAUGACCACAAGGCACAGGAUGUAUAAAUAAGAUAUAAAUCUAGACCUACUUGAGGGAUACAGAUAGAUGAAGAACAUUGCACUGAGAAGAUAUGAAGUGUGUUUAUCUCCAGGUCAAUGAAAGAUGGGGGAAUGUUUUGCGCAAUCAUAACCACCAGAGGUUCUGCAGAUGCCAAUGUGUCACUAUGUUCUUUGCUGUCUCUUAAUUUCAUACCUUUGAUUAAGAAAUAUGUGAAGGCUUAGGAUACUAAAGUACAUAUGACCUAACUGGAAAAGUAUUGUCACAUGACAUUCUCAAAAAUACCCUAACCAACCACAAGUUGGAUUAAGGUGAUAUCAUGCCUGUAACAGUAAGGCACAUCAAAGGCAAAAUUAGGGCAUAAUGAUCAAUGGGUGUGGGUGCUGGCAAAAGUCUCAGCAUGGUGAUCUUUUGCUCCUAUGUGCUUUCUGAAACUAUGAGUCAGGUAAUACCAGUGGACAUUGUGGGUGACUCAUUCAUCAACUUUCUGAGCAAUAGUGUCAUCCAAUAGUUUUUAACUAGAAAACUCU
Long non-coding RNA from Hypanus sabinus (Atlantic stingray), 3809 nucleotides. RefSeq lists it as uncharacterized. The transcript has 4 exons. Lineage: Eukaryota; Metazoa; Chordata; Chondrichthyes; Myliobatiformes; Dasyatidae. The record is from RefSeq and is a predicted model, not a curated record.